Molecule: regulatory RNA element, 33 nt
Organism: Roseivirga spongicola
Lineage: Bacteria; Pseudomonadati; Bacteroidota; Cytophagia; Cytophagales; Roseivirgaceae
Rfam family: DUF805b RNA
About the family: Bacteroidetes, Chlorobi (1 example), Proteobacteria.
Source: Rfam
AAGGCGGAAACCGAAAAGCCUUAAGAGUAGGUA